CCCCUAGAUGUUCUGGGCCGCACGCGCGCUACACUGAACAGUUCAACAAGUCUUAACCUUGGCCGAUAGGUCUGGGUAAUCUUUGAACGCUGUUCGUGAUUGGGAUAGACCUUUGCAAUUAUGGGUCUUCAACGAGGAAUUCCUAGUAAACGCAAGUCAUCAGCUUGCAUUGAUUACGUCCCUGCCCUUUGUACACACCGCCCGUCGCUACUACCGAUUGAACGUUUUAGUGGGGUAUUUGGACUGGACCUUCGGAGGUUCGCGCCUCCGUUGCUGUUCGGGAAGACUCCCAAACUUGAGCGUUUAGAGGAAGUAAAAGUCGUAACA
RNAcentral lists this ribosomal RNA (327 nucleotides) under uncultured eukaryote. Its description in RNAcentral is "partial 18S ribosomal RNA". It matches the Rfam family "Eukaryotic small subunit ribosomal RNA", at positions 1470 to 1796 of the family's 1831-position model. The record is from RNAcentral.